Molecule: non-coding RNA, 73 nt
Organism: Stegodyphus mimosarum
Lineage: Eukaryota; Metazoa; Arthropoda; Arachnida; Araneae; Eresidae
Source: Rfam
GCCUUCGUGGUGUAAUGGUCAGCACACUGAGCCGGUAUUCCAGAGGUCCGCGGUUCGAUCCCCGGCGAAGGCA